This 253-nucleotide ribosomal RNA is filed under the name uncultured bacterium. Its description in RNAcentral is "partial 16S ribosomal RNA". It matches the Rfam family "Bacterial small subunit ribosomal RNA", at positions 524 to 776 of the family's 1533-position model. The record is from RNAcentral.
UACAGAGGGGGCAAGCGUUGUUCGGAAUUACUGGGCGUAAAGGGCGCGUAGGCGGCCCGCUAAGUCGAACGUGAAAUCCCCGAGCUCAACUCGGGAACUGCGUCCGAUACUGCCGGGCUUGAGGCAGGGAGAGGGAUGCGGAAUUCCCGGUGUAGUGGUGAAAUGCGUAGAUAUCGGGAGGAACACCAGUGGCGAAGGCGGCAUCCUGGCCCUGUCCUGACGCUCAGGGGCGAAAGCGUGGGGAGCAAACCGG